Sander lucioperca (pikeperch) is the source of this 1612-nucleotide long non-coding RNA. The record is from Ensembl. NCBI's taxonomy places the organism in Eukaryota, Metazoa, Chordata, Actinopteri, Perciformes, Percidae.
GAAUGAUGUAAUUUAUACGGUGGGCCACCGGAGGGGAGUGAUGUGGUCCGUUGAUCUUGUGUGGGUACCACUUUUAGUGUUUGAAAGAUAGUAAUAAAAAUAAUAAUAAUACAUUUUGAGCAUAUCACACACUUCAUUUUCUGUGUUCUGGUGAAUUUUUUCUGCAACAAUAUAGUGCUUUUUCUGCCUCAAGUUAUGGUCCAAAUGUCCUUAUUUAUGUAAUGGAAAUUAUGAUUUUAGGUUUUUGGGGGGUUGCACUGGCCAGUGUUGAUUAUUGGAGAGGCUGUAACCCCCCCACCCCCCCUGUAAAUUACGCCUACGCCAUUCAUCCCACCUCUGGUUUUAUCUGCAGAUUUUUAGAUUUCAGGACCAUUCCAACCUUCAGUUGUUCUCUUUGUGUAGACUGUGAUAUCCAAUCUGCUGGAUAUGAUCUGUGUUACAUUCUGAGUCUUAGAGUAACUUGUUGUCUUCUGUUUCAGGGCUCUCCACUGGAGUGAUUGUUGGCUUAGUUCUUCUUCUCCUUCUUCUUCUUCUUGCUGCUGCUGUUCUAGCUGUGCUGGUAUACAAGGGUCACAUCACAUUAAAUUGUAAUAAAGUCAUCACAGUGGAAGAAGGCAGUGAUGUUACUUUACCCUGUUCCCUCUGGACCCAAGGAGGACCUUCGGUAGAAGGGUUCAUCUGGCAGAAAACUGAUAGUCUUCAGAUGGUGUUCCUGUAUGAUAAAGGUGAUCUUUACAGUGACGAGCGUCCAGGUCAGAGUGAGCAGUUCAAAGGUCGAGUCUCACAUUUUCCAGAUGAACUGGAACAAGGCAACGCCUCCAUAAUCAUCAGAAAUACGACGAGGGCUGACAGUGGAGACUACACCUGUAUUGUUUCAUCAAUUCAGAAAAAAGAAAAGAAAAAGAAAACUCAAAUAUUCCACAUUAAGCUUGUUGUUGGUUCAACUCCAGAGUCAAAAGAACAUCAUUCAUUAAUGAUGGAAGAAAGGCUUGAUAAUGUCUGUGUUUCUGGAAACAUUUAUUUGUCUUCAGUUAUUUUAUGCUUGUGUUAUAUCACAAUGUAUAGGCUCAUUGAUUUUGUCUUGCAGUUCUAGUUGAUUGUGUAACUGUGUGUAAGACUUGUACAGUAUUCCUGUUCCAGAGGUGUGUAGAGCAGAGAGGACCAGAUCAACAUGAUGAUGCUCUUAGAAGUCUUGUCUUCUUGUAUUCAGACAUAAUUACAAUGUUUUCUGUGAUGUGUGUGAAAUAUUGUGUAAAAAAAGGUCACUUCAUUUAAUGUUUUUUGUUAUUUUAUAGUGUGUUUUAUUACAGUAGUUAGCUCUUUAGACAAUCAUUUCUUGCUUGUGUAUUUAGAAGAAUAGUAAAGGCUGAGAUGUGGUAUUGAUCUUCUUAUCUAACUCAGUGAGAAAGUGAAUAAAGUGCCCUGGUGGGUCACCGGGUAGACCUGGUACUUUAGGCUGAGUCCUCACCACAGUGACUUUGGUUUGAGUCCACCACAGAGCCCUUUGCUGCAUGUCAUCUCCUGUCUUUCCUGUCUGUCUCUAUCACUAUCUUUUAGAAGCAGAAAUGCGAAGAAAUAAGUAUUUAGAAAAGAGUACACUACUAUGUUCUUG